Molecule: ribosomal RNA, 373 nt
Filed under: uncultured organism
Description: bacterial SSU rRNA
Rfam family: Bacterial small subunit ribosomal RNA
Source: RNAcentral
CAGGGGGGGCAAGCGUUGUUCGGAAUUACUGGGCGUAAAGGGCUCGUAGGCGGCCAACUAAGUCACACGUGAAAUCCCCAGGCUUAACCUGGGAACUGCGUGUGAUACUGGAUGGCUUGAAUUCGGGAGAGGGAUGCAGAAUUCCAGGUGUAACGGUGAAAUGCGUAGAUAUCUGGAGGAAUACCGGUGGCGAAGGCGGCAUCCUGGACCGACAUUGACGCUGAGGAGCGAAAGCUAGGGGAGCAAACGGGAUUAGAUACCCCGGUAGUCCUAGCCCUAAACGAUGAAUGCUUGGUGUGGCGGGCAUCGAUCCCUGCCGUGCCGAAGCUAACGCAUUAAGCAUUCCGCCUGGGGGAGUACGGUCGCAAGGCUG